GAUCUAUUUCAUUAGGAGGUGA
Molecule: non-coding RNA, 22 nt
Filed under: Mus musculus (house mouse)
Lineage: Eukaryota; Metazoa; Chordata; Mammalia; Rodentia; Muridae
Source: RNAcentral